Molecule: small RNA, 340 nt
Filed under: Oryza sativa Japonica Group (Japanese rice)
Lineage: Eukaryota; Viridiplantae; Streptophyta; Magnoliopsida; Poales; Poaceae
Description: sRNA Os02g0700650
Source: RNAcentral
CUUCUGCAGCCUUUGGUCUCUUGCAAGGGUCCCAUGAGCACAGUGACUGCAGAUGUCGACUGCCUCACUACUGACUGAUGUCAUUACCUCUGCCAAUGAAUACUGACCUGAGGGAACUGAAACUUCAUGGUCUCUGCAAGAGACAAUCCUUGUGGCCAUGAUUGUUCAUCUGGGCUACCGAUAACAUUGCAAAUCUUCAGAAUCUCAUCAGCCUCACUAAACAGAAAAAGAGGAUGAAGUGUCAACAGCUCGGCCAUUAUGGCACCCAUAGCCCACAUAUCUGCAAAAUCAUAGAUAGAUGACUGGAGCAAUACUUCAGGUGCUCGGUACCUGAGAUGUU